UAGCCAUGCAUGUCUAAGUACAUGCCGUAUUAAGGCGAAACCGCGAAUGGCUCAUUAAAUCAGUCAUGGUUCCUUGGAUCGUACCUUACUACUUGGAUAACUGUGGCAAUUCUAGAGCUAAUACAUGCAGCAGAGCUCCGACCUUCGGGGACGAGCGCUUUUAUUAGACCAAAACCAAUCGGACCUCGUGUCCGUCCUUUGUGGUGACUCUGUAUAACUUUGGGCUGAUCGCACGGGCCUGUCCCGGCGACGUAUCUUUCAAGUGUCUGCCUUAUCAACUUUCGAUGGUAGGUUACGCGCCUACCAUGGUCGUAACGGGUAACGGGGAAUCAGGGUUCGAUUCCGGAGAGGGAGCCUGAGAAACGGCUACCACAUCCAAGGAAGGCAGCAGGCGCGCAAAUUACCCACUCCCAGAACGGGGAGGUAGUGACGAAAAAUAACAAUACGGGACUCUUUUGAGACCCCGUAAUUGGAAUGAGUACACUCUAAAUCCUUUAACGAGGAUCCAUUGGAGGGUAAGUCUGGUGCCAGCAACCGCGGUAAUUCCAGCUCCAAUAGCGUAUAUUAAAGUUGUUGCGGUUAAAAAGCUCGUAGUUGGAUCUCAGUUCCAGACGGGUGGUCCGCCUACCGGUGGUUACUGCCUGUUCUGAACAGUCAGCCGGUUUCUCUUGAUGAUCUUCACCGGUUGUCUUGGGUGACCGGCAAGUUUACUUUGAAAAAAUUAGAGUGCUCAAAGCAGGCGUGACGCCUGAAUAAUGGUGCAUGGAAUAAUGGAAUAGGACCUCGGUUCUAUUUUGUUGGUUUUCGGAACACGAGGUAAUGAUUAAGAGGGACAGACGGGGGCAUUCGUAUUGCGACGCUAGAGGUGAAAUUCUUGGACCGUCGCAAGACGAACUACUGCGAAAGCAUUUGCCAAGAAUGUUUCCAUUAAUCAAGAACGAAAGUUAGAGGUUCGAAGGCGAUCAGAUACCGCCCUAG
This 978-nucleotide ribosomal RNA is filed under the name Pireneitega involuta. RNAcentral describes it as "SSU rRNA". It matches the Rfam family "Eukaryotic small subunit ribosomal RNA", at positions 46 to 1023 of the family's 1831-position model. The record is from RNAcentral. Lineage: Eukaryota; Metazoa; Arthropoda; Arachnida; Araneae; Agelenidae.